This 496-nucleotide ribosomal RNA is filed under the name uncultured bacterium. Its description in RNAcentral is "partial 16S ribosomal RNA". It matches the Rfam family "Bacterial small subunit ribosomal RNA", at positions 28 to 506 of the family's 1533-position model. The record is from RNAcentral.
GAUGAACGCUGGCGGCGUGCCUAAUACAUGCAAGUCGAGCGAACAGACGAGGAGCUUGCUCCUCUGACGUUAGCGGCGGACGGGUGAGUAACACGUGGAUAACCUACCUAUAAGACUGGGAUAACUUCGGGAAACCGGAGCUAAUACCGGAUAAUAUAUUGAACCGCAUGGUUCAAUAGUGAAAGACGGUUUUGCUGUCACUUAUAGAUGGAUCCGCGCCGCAUUAGCUAGUUGGUAAGGUAACGGCUUACCAAGGCAACGAUGCGUAGCCGACCUGAGAGGGGGAUCGCCCACACGGGACAUGGGACACGUGCCAGACUCCUAGGGGGGGCAGCAGGAGGGAAUCUUCCGCAAGGGGCGAAAGCCUGACGGGGCAACGCCGCGGGAGUGAAGAAGUUCUUCGGAUCGUAAAACUCUGUUAUUAGGGAAAAACAAAUGUGUAAGUAACUAUGCACGUUUUGGCGGGACCUAAGCAAAAAGCCACGGCAAACUACGU